UGUGUUGGGCGGGCAGGCUCUACUCCCAGCGUCAAGAUUCUCUCUCACCCUUUCCCUCUGCUCCUCCCCCACUUGUGCUCGUACUCUCUCUCUCUCUCUCAAAAAAAAAAAAAAAAAGACAGAAAGAAAGAAAGAAAGAAAAAAGAAAAUACAACACCACUGAAUAAUAUUUUUGAUGGUAUUAGCUAUAUAGAAGAAUCUACCUCACAGUCGAUGAAGUAUGUAUACCCUAGGGAGAACUUGGAUAUGUUCCAAGGAGGAACAUCUAAUUAUGUGAUUAUUAUUUAAGACUUGAGUAUAUUUAUUGAUUACUAGGCUUACAGAAACUUCCCUGCUAAGGUAGGAAUUCACACUCUAAAUUCAAAUUCAACAGUGAUAAUCUUAUACAUUCUCUAUCUACAGGGAUUCUCUGUUGUUAUAUCUUCCAUGUAAAUUCAAUUCGGGAAGGUUUCCAUUUAUGAACCAAAUACAGACUUGUGUUGUUCUGUAAUGAAUCAUUAGGAGUGAACUUGAUAUUUAGGGAUGACUGAAGAUAAAAGGAUUGUAGUUUAGUGUAUAGGUGCUUUGCCAGCAUUGACUUUUGAUACUUUGCUUGAAACAACAUCAACAAUAAAAAACAAAAAACAAAACUAGAUAGAUGAAUAGACCCUCACGAUAAUGUAAUCCUCUCAGUUCUAAUUCUCUUUCUUUUCCCCAACUGGGAAUAAGUUAUGUAAGAUGGUAGAGCCAGAACUUAACUGAUGGGUUUGGUUAUCUGUGGCAGCUCUUCAACAUCUAGGCUUGUGGUACUUUGUAGUAGUAAGCAGGUGAAACAAAAGGAAAUAAUGUCCCUGUGAAAGUCUUCUAAUUAAACCAAGGUUGUGUCUGAUCUAUUAAUGUUACAUGAAGAGCAGUGAUGAAAUAUAAUCGGCAAAAGGCACAAACACAAAUAGUAUAGCUGGGGAUGGUUGACAACAGCUUUUUUUCUGUCUGUACAUCUCGGCCAGUUUGGUCUGGAUGUGCUGCAGCUGUUCUCUUAUUUCACUUUUCAGCAAGUUUAGAAUUGAGUCUUGCUUAACCCAUGUGUAGUCGCACUAAAUAUGUUUGUAGUCAUUAAGAAGAAAAGGUAAAAACGUUAAAAACAAAAGCCUAAAGGUAAAACUUGGGGGUUUUAUUUAGUUUAGGUACCAUUAAAUCUUUUUUAUGGGCAUUUGAAGUGAGCAGCCUUAACCAUUUGUCAUAUUAGUAUUCCCAAACAUUGGAUUUCUGGUUCUGGCUGUUUAUAAGAAAUGUGUUUGUAGCUUGAGCUGAAAUAGAGUAAUUCUGCUUCUGGCCCUAAUUUAAUGGGUCAGAGUGUCUGUUACAGCCUGGAGCCAAAUUUAAUUACUAAACUGUAAAAGUGACUCUGAAUGAUCUCCAGUUAGCAAGCAGGAUGGUUCCCAACAUUAGUAAAGACACUCAAAGACAUUUGUCUUUGGGUUACUAUUUCAAAUUUUGACCACACCUGUAAUUAAAAAAAAAAAAAAAAAGUAAAAGGCUACAUUAUUGGUCAAUCCUGGUUCAAUUUUAAAAGCUAAUUGAGGCCAGGUUGACUCAGCUGAUCAUUCCUAAGCAAGUAACAGUUAUAGAGCUGAAGCAGCUUUAUCCCUAGUGAGCCUGACCUGUCCUGGCUGUGGAAACCUUCCAGCUUCUGGGAAGGAAAAUCAGAACAAUUGGAUAUGAGUUGAUUAGACUGCAGCCUGGUGGUUUAUAUAUACCCAUUGUGGGCUUGAAGUCUUUCUUAUCCUUGCCGUCUGAUAGCUCCAUAGAAUUAUAGAAUCAUGUGAUGUAACAGCAGGAAACAAUCCAUAUCAUUGAAUCCUUUUCCCUCAUUACACACACACAUACACGCAUGCACACACACACCCACACACACAUACACACACAAACACAGUAGAGUGGCUUGUUUUAUUUGUAUUUUUUAAGAUUUUGUUUUUAGGCAAUCUCUACACCCAACAUGGAGGUUCAAACUUACAACCCCUAAGUCAAGAGUCACAUUCUCUACUGACUGAGCCAGCCAGGCACCCCUGGGAGUGGUUUAGAAUUAGAGCAUGGGUGUGCUGAAGUCAACACCAGUAUCUGAGUAAUUUUAGGCAGAUCAAGGAACCUAUCUUUGCCUCUGUCAUCUGUAAAAUGAGAUUGUAAUGGUACCUACCUCAUAGGUAUAUUGUUAUAAAGAUUUAAUGAAGUAAUAAAGAGCUCCUGAUUUACAGCAUGUGCGCAGUUAACAAAAAAAAAAACUUUUUUAAAAGGAGAAAACAGAAGUCACAGAUGAAUACCACAAUGGCAGAGGGAAAGAAAAAAGGACUAAUGUUUAUUUAGCACCUGUUAUCUUCCAGGCCCUGGAAGACACAGAUGUAUUAGGUGAUUUACAUAUGUAUUACAUUCUUUAGCCUUGAGAAAGAUUUUACUUUUCCCAUUUUGCUGGUUAGAAGAGUGAGAAAGAGAUUAAGUUACUUGCCCAAGGACACGGCAUUAAUAACAGCAGAGUGGGAGGAGAGAUUCAUUCCAAAGCCCCAGUUCUUUUCCACUACCCUGUUACCUUCCAUGACGUCCCCAGUUUUCCCCACAUAAAAAUGGGUUGCAUUUCAAAAAUUCAUUUACAAAUUCAUUUGAAGUUAUUUUUCCAUAAGGACAAAGUUACAAAUGGUGGUUAUAGACCCAGACUUAUCUGCAAGAGCUGCAUUGUUACUGAAAUUAUGCACAUUUGUGAACUAAAACUGUCAGGAAAAAAAUUCAUUUGCAAUUUUGGCUAUUAAACAGAAAAAGUAUAUUUUAAAUUCUGUGGAAUAAUAGUUCUUUGAGAAAAGCAGAUUGGUUAGAGAACAGUAAGAAGAUGGAGACUGUUUUGAUGCUGGUGGGGCCUUUGGAAUACUUUAAGGGACUUAACAUUUAUAGCACGGAAACAGUCUAUGUUUGAUGACACUUUGAUGAUGUACAAAGCACAUUCUUAUUCAUUACAAUCAUGUAUGAGACACGUAGGAUAGGUAGUAGAGUUGACCUAAUUUUCCUUGGCAAUAGUUAGCUCUUUUUCCCCCCAUCAUUUCAUCCAUGAUUUUUGUUUUUUAAAGGAGCCCAGCUAGUCACUUUAAUACUCAAAGGAUUAGUUUAUAGGUAUAUUGAAGAAUGAAUGAAAAUAAAAGAAUGAAGGUCUUUGAUGUAGAAAUGUUGGGGCUUGGAGCAAGCGGUCAAGAAAGAAUUCUUGAGGCCUCUUUGGUGCAAAAAGGUGGCUUUAUUAAAGCAUGAAGACUGGACCCAUGGUCAGAAAGGGCUGCACUGGGAUUGUGAGAACAAUUGAUUACAUACUUUCAAGUUGGGAGGGGUUAGGGAUAGUAUAAGUCUCUAAGGAAUUUGGAAGCAAAGUUUCCAGGACCUUGAGGGGCUAGCUGUUGUUAGGAUAGGUCAUUUACUACUGUCUAGUAAAACCUUAGUCAUAAGACCCUUCAGAUGUAUAUCAGUGGGCCAUAUGCUUGGAGGAUGAUUGCUAAGAUAUAUGUUGGGGGGUGGGGUGGGUAGAGAUAAAGGAAGUUUCCAAAGGAAUUUUUAUAUGUUAAUGGAGACUUAACAGGGCCCUGGAGGUUGGGAUGUUAAGCCCUUAGCAAAGUAUUAACAUCCAGGCAGUUGAAUUCCUAGAGGAAGGUCACUCUGCCUGUUUCAAGGACUUGUCACUGGGCUCUAAGUUGUAAGGAAAUUUAAUUUUUUUCUGUUGCUUUUGUUCCCCAUGUCAGUCUUCCUGAGUUAAUUGUGCCGAAAUAGAAGGAAUUAGAAUGGAGUAAAGGGUAUAUGUGGGCAGAUAAGAAAAUGGUAGAAUUAAAUGUUAACUUUUUUUUUUUUACUGUCUUUAAUAUUUUCUUAUUUUAGUUGGCACUGUUUUCUGAGCACAUUAUCAGUCAUUGUGUGUCAGACCUGACCCCAGUGGAAUCUGUUCUUUACUUGAAGCAUCUGCUAAAGAUUAUAUUCAGAUCAUGCAAUGAUCUUUUCCUCCCCACCAGUAUUUAUGAAUAUGCGUUAGUUAUUUAAUUAUAAGACUAGUGGGACUAGUACGGAGUUCCUGUUUAAGUAAUCUUUUUAAUAACUAAAAAAAAUUAGAAAAACUAAAGCAGAUUGAAUGAAAAACCAUCCUUUUAUUUUCCUGUAAUUAUUGCUUGUUCUCCUCUUACUAAAGGCAGGACUAAAGGGUGAGAAUUGGGGUAACUUUAUGUGAUGUAGUAUUUGCUUAUGCAUGUUUCAAAACAAAAGGGAAAUCCCUUUAAGUAGGAUUGAUAUGCUGUAAACGAGUGUAGGAAUAUUUGUCACUUAAUGUCUUGCUUGCAAGUUAGGAAGUAUACCUGAAAACACAGGAAAUGGAGCCAAGAUGCUUGGAUUUACAUUCAUGUUCUGCAACUUCUUUAGAGAAAUUACCUCCCUGACCCUCCUUUUUAAAGUGAUGCGGGGCGCCUGGAUUGCCAAAUUCUUUUUUACUCUGAAAUUCUCUGUGAAAUGGAAGGAGCAUAUUUUGUGUUUAUUUGAGAUGGCUGGGAGAAAGUGGGUGGUGGCGAGAAGUUCACUGUGCUGGAGACCUGCUUUGUUGUUAAAUUAGUGGCCAUCCAGAGCGCAAGUGUAAGUAUUUGUGACGUGUGCAGAAGAGUACUGAGUUGAGGGAGAGAAUCUAGUAUUUGCCAAUUGGAAGCCUGCUCACAGCAUCUUCAUAAAUAUGAAUCUGGUGAGCAGGCUGCUCUGUUAACAUUUAUCUAACCUUAACCGAUACAGUCAAUCUUAAAUUGGGUUAGAAUAAAAGGCUGCUGCCGAGGCAGCUUAACACUAGUUCUAAGGAACGUAUGUUGCAUCAAAUAAGCCUGCUUGAUGUUAGAACUUGCCACUGACAUGGUUCAUCUACUAUUUAUCCCAUGUGAUUGUGUUAUCAUUGGUGUACAUUUAAAUUCAAUUUUUGGCAGUUGGUCAAAAUAUGAACCUUUUAGGCACUGGUGGUUUCUUAUUACUUUAUGGAUUAUUACUUGCCAGGAAUAUUUUUUUAAAUUUUAUUUAUUUAUUUUUAGAGAGAGAGUGUGCGGGCAGGGGAAGAAUAGAGAAAGAGAGAGAGAGAGAAUCACAACCAGGCUCCACAAUGUCAGCACAGAGCCUGAUGCAGGGCUCCAACUCACAAAUGGCGAGGUUAUGACCUGAGCCAAAAUCUAGACAUGGAUGCUUAACUGACUGAGCCACCCAGGCGCCCCCUUACCAAGAAUAUUGUUGACACUUUUCAUUUUAUUUUUAAAUGUUUUAUUUAUUUUUGAGAGAGAGAGUGCAAGCGGGGGAGGGGAAGAGAGAGAGGGGGACAGAGGAUCCGAAGUGGGCUCUGCACUGACAGCAGUUAGCCCAAUGGGUGCUUGAACUCAUGAACUGUGAGAUCAUGACCUGAGCUGCAGGUGGAUGCUCAACUAACUGAGCCACCCAGGUGCCCCUGUUGACACAUUUUAGAAAUUUAGUUUGUUUUUCUGAUUAUAGAGGUAAUGCAUAGUCAUUUUUUAAAAACCUGGAAAGUACAGGAAAAGAUUAAGAAGAAAAGAGAAAUCACCUGAAAUUCUACUUUCCAUGCUGUUUCCUUCUAGUCAUUUUUUUCUUUUUUUUUGAGGUAGCUAUGUGUUUGGGGGAGAGGGGGAUAUUUCCUUAGUGAAACAGCUGAGGCAUAAGUAGAAUUUCCCAUGACACUCAUGAUGUUGGGAAUCUUGCCUUGUGUACUGUGCUAAUUAAGAACUGAAUGAUUUUGUCUGGGGCACCUGGGUGGCUCGGUCGGUUGAGCAUCCUGACUUUGGCUGUGGUCAUAAUCUCACAGUUUGUGAGUUCAAGCCCUCUCCUGUCAGCGCAGAUCCUGCUUCAGAUCCUCUGUCCCCCCCGCCCCACCCCCAUCCCUCCCUCACCAAUACUUUCUCUCAAAAAUAAAUAAAUACUAAAAAAAUAUAAGAACUGAAUGAUUUUUUUAAACCAGGUGGCACAAACUCAGAUGCCUGCACAACCAAAUGUGUAAAUGUGUGAAUCAGACCAGUUAGAGGACACUGGGGAGUGGUAGGGACUGUGGUAAAUUGAAAAAUGUAGGACCUGAUUGAAGAAGACUGCUACUAUCUCCAGCUUAUUGUUGCCAUAUGGAAACAGAGUCUUGUGUUACCAGAUCUUCCUGAUAUCCAAUAAAAUCUGGACAUCUGUAUUUCUUUUUAAUGUGAAGUUUUCCGUUUUAAAAAAAUACCGUGCCUGUCAAAUAGGUCUGUAGAUUACACCCGGCCCAUACACUGCUGUUUUGUCAUUCCUGACAUAAAUACUUCCCUCAGUCUUUCUCACAGCUCUCAUAAGAAGAGCACUUUUAUAACAAAAUAUUUAGAGGGGACUUGGAUAAGGAAUUUCUAAGAGUGGCUUCAGGAAUUUUCACUCUGUGUAGACACUGAGAGGGUUGCCUAAUGUGGGAAUGAUAAACCUAGAUAUCCACAGAGACCAGGAACUGACAUAAAUGAGUGAAAUGGCCUGGAUAUUAAGAUUAUAGGGAAUGGUACAGAGAGUAUAUUCCCUAUACAGGAUAUUUGGGUUCUAGCAAAUUGUUUCUUUGCUGAAAUGCAGAUCUGAUGUGGCCAAUCUUCUAGUAUGUCAAGAGUUUCAUAAAUUUGUAUCUUUAUGAAAUUUCUUGACUUAAAAACAAUGUGGAUGAAACAUAAAUUACCGUUGGUCCAAAUCUGCACAAAGGCCACUAAUUUGUAACUCGUGGCCUAGAUGACUGUUUUCCUAAGUAUAUCCUACAAAUCCCAAUUCCAUCAUAGUUUGGUAGGUAUUAAGAAAUUGGAAAGUGGUGGAUUAAAUUAAAUUAAACAGAUUUCCUGACUGAAAGUUAUCUUAGAUCCUUAAAUAAACUGUUUGUAAAUUCCUAAGAAGAUAUAGGUCAUAGGCCCCACAGUUACAGUUAAUGUCUCUGUCUUCACUCACCAUCCGUCUUGUCUCUGAGGAAGAGAUGAUUUCCUCCUGGUAAAUGUUAGUGUCUCUACCUGUUCUCCAGAUUCUGUCCCUGCCUCUUUAGAGACCUUGCUUUAUAAUCAACGUCUUGUUUCCUGCCUCCUUUCCUUCAGCCUAUCAACAUGCUUGGUUUCUUUAAAGAAAAUAAUAACCAUUUUCUUAGCAUACACAAAAAUUAACUUCAAAUGGAUUGUGGACCUAAAAUGUAAGAGCUAAAACUAUAAAAUUCUGAGAAUAAAACAUAGGAAUAAAUCCUCAUGACCUUGGUCAUGCAAAGCCUUCUUAGAUACUAUACUAAAAGCACAAGCCACAAAAGAAAACAAAUAGAUAACUUGAAUUUCAUCAGAAUUAAAAACUUUUGUGCUACAAAGGACACCAUCAAAAAAGUAAAAACAAGUCACAGACUGGGAGAAAAUAUGUGGUAUAACCAUAUAAUGGAAUAUUAUUUGACAAUAAAAAGCAAUGAAAUACCGCUAUAUGCUCCAACAGGAAAGAAGCCAGUCACUAAAGGUUGUAUCCUGGGGCACCUGGGUGGCUCAGUCAGUUAAGUAUCCGACUUCGGCUCAGGUCAUGAUCUCACGGUUCGUGGAUUCGAGCCCUGCAUCGGGCUCUGUGCUGACAGCUCAGAGCCUGGAGCCUGCUUCAGAUUCUGUGUCUCCCUCUCUCUCUGCCCCUCCCCCACUCGUGCUCUGUCUCCCUCUGUCUCAAAAA
Long non-coding RNA from Neofelis nebulosa (Clouded leopard), 7701 nucleotides. RefSeq lists it as uncharacterized. Lineage: Eukaryota; Metazoa; Chordata; Mammalia; Carnivora; Felidae. The transcript is spliced from 2 exons. The record is from RefSeq and is a predicted model, not a curated record.